CAGGAUAUCGAUCACACGUGUCACAGCAGAUAUUUCUUUAGCCAAACGGUCUGUUCUCAACAACCCCAGUAAAAGGGCCAUCAUCGAAAGAUCCAACACUCGCUCCAGCUUAGCUGAGGUGCAGAGUGAGAUCGAGAGGAUCUUCGAGUUGGCCCGCUCCCUGCAGCUGGUGGUUCUGGACGCCGACACCAUCAACCACCCGGCCCAGCUCCUCAAGACCUCCCUGGCCCCCAUCAUCGUCCAUGUUAAGGUCUCCUCGCCAAAGAAACAUGGUGGUGCAACAUGGCAGCCUCCGUAGAAGAGGACCCGCUCCAGAUGUAAAUAUAAAUGGCACAAUCCUGGGUAAUGUAAACAAUACUUUGUUGAGUUGGUGAUGGUUUCAGUUCUGCACAGAAGCACCUCUGCAUGGAUCUGCUGCAUUUCCUCUACUCUGGGUCUACAGCUAUCACCACUCAGAAUAAUCAAGGCCCUCCCAGAUGCUACGCCUGUGCGUCUUCAGGCCGUCACUUCCUGGUCUACCACACUGGUUUUUACAACGCACCUUCCUAGCAUGCGAA
This is a non-coding RNA of Paralichthys olivaceus (Japanese flounder), 557 nucleotides long. The record is from RefSeq and is a predicted model, not a curated record. Lineage: Eukaryota; Metazoa; Chordata; Actinopteri; Pleuronectiformes; Paralichthyidae.